AAAUCCUGAAUACAAAGCUGCUUCCUUGAGGAGUGGAUGAGAGAAAUCGGGAUGGCCCAGUUGGUAGAAUCACAGAACAACCCCUGAUAAGAAGAGAGACUUGGAGGAUGGUAACUUGACCCAGCAAGAAAUGCCAAGGGCUGAGCUAUGUGGCUGUGGGUACAGUGCUUGCCUAGCGUGCACAAACUCUCUCCCCCACAUCACAUAAGAUGAAAUGAUGGUACAUCCCUGCAACCCAUCCCUUAGGCAGAGGCCAGAGGAUCAGCAGGAGCUCAGAAUUAUCUUCAACUACAUAAUAAGCCAGCCUGGGCUACAUGAGAGGCCAGCCUGGGCUACAUGAGACCCUAUUGAGAGACAGCUGAAAGAACUCCAAAGGUCCUGUCAUUGUUAAUCAUCUUCCUGAUGAUUGACGGGGAGCCGCUUCUUAUAGCUGAGUUGUAGAAAAGUACCCAUAGGCAAAAUGGUACAGAGUUCCUGGGCACAGCUUCAGAUACUGAGACACUGAGCCUUCAUUUACUGUCCUUGGAAACACUCUCUUAGUCACUGGGUGAAGAUGCAAAGCAUUCCAUCAGAGCUUCAAGGAGAAGGAAGGUAUGUUCAGAGGGAAAGCUGGGCAUGGUGGAGGCUGGGAGGUGACAGUAGAAAUGUGAGAGAGAAGCAGCACAAGAGCUGAGCUAGGAGAGGACAGAGUUGACAGCAACCAGGAGACAGCCCUCUCAGAGAACAGGAAACCAACCGACAACCUAGCUCUUCCUUCUUCACCGGCAGAAAUUGAGUUCAUGUCUGUUAGCUUGCUUUUCUCUCUAUUUUCAAUAUCCUCACAUCAAGCCCAAGCAAAUCACUGACUAGUUGAAAACGAAAUUAGGUUUUUAAAAACAACAGUGGGUGCACAUGUACUCAUGUUUAUAUUAAAGAGCUCAUAACAAUUUCAGAAUCCCACUGAGUCACAUAAAACAAGUGUGUUAUUAUACAGUAUGAUCAUACAGACUUUAAAAGAAGUUUAUGGUGUUUUAUCACAGCGAUAGAAAAGUAAGACACAUGGAUAGAUGGAUGGAGGCAUAGGUGGA
Molecule: long non-coding RNA, 1067 nt
Filed under: Mus musculus (house mouse)
Lineage: Eukaryota; Metazoa; Chordata; Mammalia; Rodentia; Muridae
Description: predicted gene, 34829
Source: RNAcentral